UACGUAGGGGGCAAGCGUUGUCCGGAUUUAUUGGGCGUAAAGAGCGUGUAGGCGGCCAAGCAGGUCCGCUGUGAAAACUCGAGGCUCAACCUCGAGACGUCGGUGGAAACCGUUUGGCUAGAGUCCGGAAGAGGAGAGUGGAAUUCCCGGUGUAGCGGUGAAAUGCGCAGUUAUCGGGAAGAACACCCGUGGCGAAGGCGGCUCUCUGGGACGGUACUGACGCUGAGACGCGAAAGCGUGGGGAGCGAACAGG
This 253-nucleotide ribosomal RNA is filed under the name uncultured bacterium. RNAcentral's name for it is "partial 16S ribosomal RNA". It matches the Rfam family "Bacterial small subunit ribosomal RNA", at positions 524 to 776 of the family's 1533-position model. The record is from RNAcentral.